RNAcentral lists this ribosomal RNA (432 nucleotides) under uncultured bacterium. Its description in RNAcentral is "bacterial SSU rRNA". It matches the Rfam family "Bacterial small subunit ribosomal RNA", at positions 233 to 677 of the family's 1533-position model. The record is from RNAcentral.
GCGGCCUAUCAGCUUGUUGGUGGGGUGAUGGCCUACCAAGGCGACGACGGGUAGCCGGCCUGAGAGGGCGACCGGCCACACUGGGACUGAGACACGGCCCAGACUCCUACGGGAGGCAGCAGUGGGGAAUAUUGCACAAUGGGCGGAAGCCUGAUGCAGCGACGCCGCGUGAGGGAUGACGGCCUUCGGGUUGUAAACCUCUUUCAGCAGGGACGAAGCGCAAGUGACGGUACCUGCAGAAGAAGCGCCGGCCAACUACGUGCCAGCAGCCGCGGUAAGACGUAGGGCGCGAGCGUUGUCCGGAUUUAUUGGGCGUAAAGAGCUCGUAGGCGGCUUGUCGCGUCGUCCGUGAAAACCUGCAGCUCAACUGCAGGCUUGCGGGCGAUACGGGCAGGCUAGAGUUCGGUAGGGGAGACUGGAAUUCCUGGUGUA